This 73-nucleotide transfer RNA is filed under the name Stegodyphus mimosarum. It matches the Rfam family "tRNA". From Rfam's summary of the family: Transfer RNA (tRNA) molecules are approximately 80 nucleotides in length. Their secondary structure includes four short double-helical elements and three loops (D, anti-codon, and T loops). Further hydrogen bonds mediate the characteristic L-shaped molecular structure. tRNAs have two regions of fundamental functional importance: the anti-codon, which is responsible for specific mRNA codon recognition, and the 3' end, to which the tRNAs corresponding amino acid is attached (by aminoacyl-tRNA synthetases). tRNAs cope with the degeneracy of the genetic code in two manners: having more than one tRNA (with a specific anti-codon) for a particular amino acid; and 'wobble' base-pairing, i.e. permitting non-standard base-pairing at the 3rd anti-codon position. Lineage: Eukaryota; Metazoa; Arthropoda; Arachnida; Araneae; Eresidae. The record is from Rfam by way of RNAcentral.
GCCUUCGUGGUGUAAUGGUCAGCACACUCGACGUGCAACCGAGAGGUCCGUGGUUCAAAUCCCGGCGAAAGCC